Molecule: long non-coding RNA, 1940 nt
Filed under: Sparus aurata (gilthead seabream)
Lineage: Eukaryota; Metazoa; Chordata; Actinopteri; Spariformes; Sparidae
Description: lncRNA (ENSSAUG00010017992.1)
Source: RNAcentral
CUGACUUUGUGCUUUGCUCCCAUCUGUAAUGACUCUGAAUUUAUGUUUUUUGUAUCAUGUCUUGUUGUGUCUUUGUUUUGAUUUUCCAUGCCCCUCUGUGUCCUUUAAGUUUCUAUGUUCUCCCCUCUGUCUGUUGUAUUGUUCCCUUCACGUUUUCUCAUGUGCUCCUCCCCCUCAUUACCACACCUGGCCUCCUCCCUCCUCACCUGUUCCUCGUCUGUUCAUCAGCGUCUGUGUUUUUAGUCUGUGUCUUCCCUUCACUCCUUGUCCGAUCAUUGUAUUCUGUCUGUCUCUGUCUGCGUCAGCCUCCGGUCAUGCGCCUGCUCCUGUUCAUGUCAUGUCCUCCCAGUCUCCCCAUGGUACUGUUAUAUCUGUCUCACAGAGGAAGUGGCGAGCUGAAGCUCUUUGGGAGAUUCAAUGUUCAACAUUCCCGUAACACUCUCCACAUGGUCAAUGAUGACUUGGUCCUCCAGCAGCAGAUACUCAUGCAUAUUCUCCACCAUAACUGCAUUGGCCAAGAAGCCUCUUUGUACAGAGGUUUUGCCAUGGGACAUGAUCUCCCAGAGGUGGCACCUCUCUGCUUUGGUGGACAACUGCUAACGGUAGAAUUCAUCCAAUCUGUCAUCCAGUGGCUGUCUCUGUUGAAGCUCGUCAUAACACUGGAUGAACUCCAUCAGGACUCCAUCAAAGGAUCCCUUAUGUAUGGAGCCAGAUUCCACGAAGAUCUGAAGAACUCUGAGUUCAUUCUUUGCUCCUGAUGAGCACUCUUGGGUUGAGCUUUGAGACAGUUUGACAACUCUGAUUGAAUUGUAGCUUCAGCGUUUGGGUGUUCCUUUCUGUGAUCCUCAAGAACUCAUGCUGUAAGAAAUCCAACAUUAAUCAUUCAGAUUUGUUAUAUCAUGGUUGUCCGCAUCAUUAUAUUCUAACUGUAUUAGCUUCAGUGCUGUGGUGGUGUUUCUGAACUUGUACAGUAACUCUCAAAGCAAUGUGAAAGGAUCCUCACUCAUAAAUGGGAGCAUGGCUUUAUUACCUUUCCUGCUUUCUUAAGACAGGAACAAUUUCCUUUGCAACCAUGAAAAAGUCCAGUUUUGCUUGAGAGACACUCUCUCCAUUAAUAAUCUCCGCAGCUUUGCUUGACCACUUUUUGGACGGGUCUUCAAAAAGGACAAUAUCUGAAGACUCCCCUACGCCGCCUCAACAUUUUCCAGCCAUCUGUAAUGACAAAAAUCAUGGGGGAAUCUUGCAGACUAAUGGCUUACAAUGUUGUCUUAUCUUAAAAAGAUACUUAAGAUCAACAGCUUCCAGUUGGUGCUUGCCGGGCUGUGGAAACUGAUAUCUGUGCAUACAUAACAUUCAAUUUUCUCAUGCAUUUGAUCUGCAGCUAGAUGCUUAUGAUAACAUAAUGUAAGUGCCUUGUUUGCAAACAAUGGUCAUGCUCAUUUCAAAGUUCAAACUUUCAUCAAACAAAAGCAAUCAUACUGAAUCUUUCUUUACUUCAUCAGUGAAGAGAAAUGGGAUGCUAUCUCCUCACAAGUUAACUUAUUUUACAUGAAAGGAUUUGUAACUGUUGCCCAACUAAUUUUUUCCAUCGGUGCUGGGUUUGAGGUAAUAAAAUGUUCAGUGUGUUAUCACCGCUUAUUGCAGUAGCUGUUGUUUCAGCAUUUAAUGUUGAAGUAUCACUGAGGAGUACUUUUGAUGUCAGGUGGAAGUAAACCCCUAAGGUGGAACCUGCCCUGGUCUUUGAGAGGUCUUCAUGCUUCUUGCCUUGAACAAGUCAGGGAAAAAUAAAACGGAAACAAAAUAAGGAUACAGCAGAAAAUUGGCCACUCAGUUAUAUAAGUUACUAGAACAAGCUCCAUCAAGUAUAAUCUGACACACUUAAUCAAUUAUUGCAAUUUAAUUAGAGCAGUGCAUCAUCAUUAGCAAAAUUACAGGAAGGU